CGAGAGGCCCAAACGUUAUUCGGAAUUACUGGGCUUAAAGAGUUCGUAGGCGGCGCAGAAAGUAGGGUGUGAAAGCCCUCGGCUCAACCGAGGAAUUGCGCUCUAAACUACUGUGCUCGAGGAACCUAGAGGUGAGCAGAACAGAUGGUGGAGCGGUGAAAUGCGUUGAUAUCAUCUGGAAUACCGGAGGCGAAGGCGGCUCACUGGGGGUUUUCUGACGCUGAGGAACGAAAGCCAGGGGAGCGAACGGGAUUAGAUACCCCGGUAGUCCUGGCCGUAAACGAUGAGCACUAGGCCGGAGCCCUGCACAGGGUUUCGGCCGUAGCUAAAGUGUUAAGUGCUCCGCCUGGGGAGUAUGGUCGCAAGGCUG
Molecule: ribosomal RNA, 370 nt
Filed under: uncultured organism
Description: bacterial SSU rRNA
Rfam family: Bacterial small subunit ribosomal RNA
Source: RNAcentral